Molecule: small RNA, 132 nt
Filed under: Escherichia coli
Lineage: Bacteria; Pseudomonadati; Pseudomonadota; Gammaproteobacteria; Enterobacterales; Enterobacteriaceae
Description: RtT sRNA
Rfam family: RtT RNA
About the family: This family represents a bacterial cis-regulatory element known as RtT RNA. The exact function of RtT is unknown although it is thought that it may be involved in changing the cellular response in relation to amino acid starvation.
Source: RNAcentral
GUUUGCACUCAUCGGGGAAGGGUGAGAACCUUCGACUAAGGUUCGAUUCGAGCGAAAGCGAGAGAACGUUGCCACAGGCAACGGCCAGAAGGGUGAGGAGCGAAGCGACGAAUAAUCCUUCCCCCACCACCA